AGUGAACGCUGGCGGUAGGCCUAACACAUGCAAGUCGAACGGCAGCACAGUAAGAGCUUGCUCUUACGGGUGGCGAGUGGCGGACGGGUGAGGAAUACAUCGGAAUCUACUUUUUCGUGGGGGAUAACGUAGGGAAACUUACGCUAAUACCGCAUACGACCUACGGGUGAAAGCAGGGGAUCUUCGGACCUUGCGCGAUUGAAUGAGCCGAUGUCGGAUUAGCUAGUUGGCGGGGUAAAGGCCCACCAAGGCGACGAUCCGUAGCUGGUCUGAGAGGAUGAUCAGCCACACUGGAACUGAGACACGGUCCAGACUCCUGCGGGAGGCAGCAGUGGGGAAUAUUGGACAAUGGGCGCAAGCCUGAUACAGCCAUACCGCGUGGGUGAAGAAGGCCUUCGGGUUGUAAAGCCCUGUUGUUGGGAAAGAAAAGCAGCAGGUUAAUACCCCGCUGUUCUGACGGUACCCAAAGAAUAAGCACCGGCUAACUUCGUG
Molecule: ribosomal RNA, 492 nt
Filed under: uncultured bacterium
Lineage: Bacteria
Description: partial 16S ribosomal RNA
Rfam family: Bacterial small subunit ribosomal RNA
Source: RNAcentral